GCUCCAAUAGCGUAUAUUAAAGUUGUUGUGGUUAAAAAGCUCGUAGUUGAACCUUGGGCCUGGCUGGCCGGUCCCCCUCACCGGGUGCACUGGUCCGGCCGGGCCUUUCCCUCUGUGGAACCGCAUGCCCUUCACUGGGUGUGCCGGGGAAACAGGACUUUUACUUUGAAAAAAUUAGAGUGCUUCAGGCAGGCCUAUGCUCGAAUACAUUAGCAUGGAAUAAUAGAAUAGGACGUGUGGUUCUAUUUUGUUGGUUUCUAGGACCGCCGUAAUGAUUAAUAGGGACAGUCGGGGGCAUCAGUAUUCAAUUGUCAGAGGUGAAAUUCUUGGAUCUAUUGAAGACUAACUACUGCGAAAGCAUUUGCCAAGGAUGUUUUCAUUGAUAAGGAACGAAAGUUAGGGGAUCGAAGACGAUCAGAUACCGUCGUAGUCUUAACUAUAAACUAUGCCGACUAGGGAUCGGACGGUGUUUAUACUUGACCCGUUCGGCACCUUUCGAGAAAUCAAAGUGC
Molecule: ribosomal RNA, 512 nt
Filed under: Microascales sp. JSM-2014
Lineage: Eukaryota; Fungi; Ascomycota; Sordariomycetes; Microascales
Description: SSU rRNA
Rfam family: Eukaryotic small subunit ribosomal RNA
Source: RNAcentral